RNAcentral lists this long non-coding RNA (664 nucleotides) under Carica papaya (papaya). RNAcentral describes it as "long non-coding RNA (CPAP_LNC009847)". The record is from RNAcentral. Lineage: Eukaryota; Viridiplantae; Streptophyta; Magnoliopsida; Brassicales; Caricaceae.
UAGUACAGUAAUGGGCGGGGUGUUACAUCCCUCCCAUCUUAAAAAAAUUUGGUCCCUAAAUUUUUCUCGAAUGAGUCUGAAUACUUUUUCCUCAUUUCCUCCUACAAUUCCCAUGUCACUUCUUCUAAAGUAUGAUGCUGUCAUCGUACCUUCACUAUGGGGAUCGUCUUGUUACGUAAGACUUUAUCGGUCCACCUAAGAAUUUCUAUGGAAACCUCCUCAUAGGUCAUAUCGGCUUGUACUUGCAUCUCAUCGCGAGGAUUAACAUGAGAAGGAUUAGGGUUGUACCUCUUGAGCAUCGAGACAUGAAAGACAUCAUGCAAACCUACGAACUCUCGGGAUAGAGUGAGGCAGUAUAUUAUGGGUCCAAUGCGCUUGAUGAUCGAAAAAGGUCCCAUAUAACGAUGGAUUAGCUUCCCUCUCUUCCCAAAUCACAUCUUGCCUUUAUAGGGGUAGACUUUUAGGAAAACUUAAUCUCCCACAGCAAAUUCCAAGGGUCACCUACGAUUAUUGGCAUAGCUCUUUUGGCAGUUUUGGGCAAUUGCCAAAUUCUUACGGAUGAUUGCGAUCUUCGCUAUGGUAUCCUGAAUGAAGUCUGGUCCUAAGUGACACUGGUUCCCGACUUCACUCCAGCAAGUAGGGCAACGACAAGGCCUUCCAUAUA